UCCCUGGUGGUCUAGUAGUUAGGACUCUGUGCUUUCACUGCUGUGGACCUGGGUUCAAUCCCUGGUUAGGGAA
This is a non-coding RNA of Bos taurus (domestic cattle), 73 nucleotides long. The record is from Rfam. Lineage: Eukaryota; Metazoa; Chordata; Mammalia; Artiodactyla; Bovidae.